GAUGAACGCUGGCGGCGUGCUUAACACAUGCAAGUCGAACGGUGAAGGCGGAGCUUGCUCUGCUGGAUCAGUGGCGAACGGGUGAGUAACACGUGAGCAAUCUGCCCCUGACUCUGGGAUAAGCGCUGGAAACGGCGUCUAAUACUGGAUACGAGCUGCGAAGGCAUCUUCAGCAGCUGGAAAGAACUUCGGCCAGGGAUGAGCUCGCGGCCUAUCAGCGUGUUGGUGAGGUAAUGGCUCACCAAGGCGUCGACGGGUAGCCGGCCUGAGAGGGUGACCGGCCACACUGGGACUGAGACACGGCCCAGACUCCUACGGGAGGCAGCAGUGGGGAAUAUUGCACAAUGGGCGAAAGCCUGAUGCAGCAACGCCGCGUGAGGGACGACGGCCUUCGGGUUGUAGACCUCUUUUAGCAGGGAAGAAGAGAAAGUGACGGUACCUGCAGAAAAAGCGCCGGCUAACUACGUG
This 468-nucleotide ribosomal RNA is filed under the name uncultured bacterium. RNAcentral's name for it is "partial 16S ribosomal RNA". It matches the Rfam family "Bacterial small subunit ribosomal RNA", at positions 28 to 507 of the family's 1533-position model. The record is from RNAcentral.